Molecule: ribosomal RNA, 119 nt
Organism: Lepisosteus oculatus (spotted gar)
Lineage: Eukaryota; Metazoa; Chordata; Actinopteri; Semionotiformes; Lepisosteidae
Source: Rfam
GCCAGCAGCCAUAUCACCCUGCAACUCACAGCUGCCAGCCCACUGAAGCUCAGCAGGUGUGAGCCUGGUCAGUACCUGGAUAGGAGACCUCCUGGGAAAAACUAUGGUUGCUGCUGGAA